GUUGAGACGUUGUAGAGAUACAACGAAAUCUAGGCGACGCGUUUCAAAAAUAAGCAGAAUUAAAUUUACAUCAACAUUAUUCGUGYAUACAUACAUACAGUCAAUACAAAAAGAUAAUUGAAAGCGCAAAAAAAUGCCGCUAGAUACCGAAAGCACCGCGCUCUUGAGCAAAGAACAACUCAAAUCCAACGGUAACGACAAUGAACACAAGAAGGAACAAUCGAAAUCCCAAUCGCAUUACAUCGAGGUUGUGGAGAAACCAAUAUAUAACGGUUAUACAACCAUACUAGGGGAGGAAGACUUCUCCGCUAGCCUAACUCUGGAAGAACUGCUGCCCUUUAUCAACGAUUCGUGGUGGCAAAAACUGCGGCGCACACUCUUCUGCACAUUCUGCUUGGUGUUUUGGCUGAUUUUAUUCACCGGCUGUAUGCUUGCCUAUAUGGAGCGUAAUAAACAAUGUGGCAUAUUGAUCGCAAGAGCAACAACACCAACUAAUACGAGUACGUUGACAGCAGCCACUCUACAAAGUAUUUAAAAGCUGAUAAGCGCGGCUAAUUUACAUAGAAUUUUUGCUUUGCUUUACGGCCGACUUUCGUUUUGACAGAAAAGUUCGAUGUACGAUUUGGUAUAAGACAGUUGACAUAAAAAGUUUUCGAGAAACACUAUAAUCAAAGCGUUCGUUAUGGCAUACCAUUUGUUUUCUGUGCUUCGUUAUUUUAGUGUCACGCAAAGCGCAAAAGAAGUUGUAUGUGAAUGGGCCUUUAUAGUCUUAUCUUCAUAAGUAAAGCGGGAGAUUUUCAAAUUUGGAAAGGAAGUGCCUAGUUUCUCGCUUUAUGAUUUUUUAUUUUUAGUUUGAAAAGUGUUUGUCAUAACUUACCGAAGUCGCACACCUAUUAUAAUCAUUAAAAAUGGACGGAAAGUGUAUAAUAAUGCAAUGUAUUUUUUAAGCCUUGUCCGCGAACUUUAAAAAAAAUGGAGCCACUGGUAAAUACCAGAG
RNA transcript from Bactrocera latifrons, 997 nucleotides. RefSeq lists it as uncharacterized. Lineage: Eukaryota; Metazoa; Arthropoda; Insecta; Diptera; Tephritidae. The transcript has 3 exons. The record is from RefSeq and is a predicted model, not a curated record.